AGUGAACGCUGGCGGUAGGCCUAACACAUGCAAGUCGAACGGCAGCACAGUAAGAGCUUGCUCUUACGGGUGGCGAGUGGCGGACGGGUGAGGAAUACAUCGGAAUCUACUUUUUCGUGGGGGAUAACGUAGGGAAACUUACGCUAAUACCGCAUACGACCUACGGGUGAAAGCAGGGGAUCUUCGGACCUUGCGCGAUUGAAUGAGCCGAUGUCGGAUUAGCUAGUUGGCGGGGUAAAGGCCCACCAAGGCGACGAUCCGUAGCUGGUCUGAGAGGAUGAUCAGCCACACUGGAACUGAGACAGGGUCCAGACACCGACGGGAGGCAGCAGUGGGGAAUAUUGGACAAUGGGCGAAAGCCGGAUCCAGCCAUACCGGGUGGAUGAAGAAGGCGUUAGGGUUGUAAAGCCAUGUUGUUGGGAAAGAAAAGCAGCAGGUUAAUACCCCGCUGUUCGGACGGUACCCAAAGAAUAAGCACCGGCUAACUUCGUG
RNAcentral lists this ribosomal RNA (492 nucleotides) under uncultured bacterium. Its description in RNAcentral is "partial 16S ribosomal RNA". It matches the Rfam family "Bacterial small subunit ribosomal RNA", at positions 29 to 507 of the family's 1533-position model. The record is from RNAcentral.